AAAAAAACCCCCACCAUCAUGGCGGGGGAAGACAGGGAUGUGUCUAUGGCAAGGAAAACAGGGAUACUAUGUUA
Pantoea vagans C9-1 is the source of this 74-nucleotide non-coding RNA. NCBI's taxonomy places the organism in Bacteria, Pseudomonadati, Pseudomonadota, Gammaproteobacteria, Enterobacterales, Erwiniaceae. The record is from Rfam.